Molecule: ribosomal RNA, 496 nt
Filed under: uncultured bacterium
Lineage: Bacteria
Description: partial 16S ribosomal RNA
Rfam family: Bacterial small subunit ribosomal RNA
Source: RNAcentral
GAUGAACGCUGGCGGCGUGCCUAAUACAUGCAAGUCGAGCGAACAGACGAGGAGCUUGCUCCUCUGACGUUAGCGGCGGACGGGUGAGUAACACGUGGAUAACCUACCUAUAAGACUGGGAUAACUUCGGGAAACCGGAGCUAAUACCGGAUAAUAUAUUGAACCGCAUGGUUCAAUAGUGAAAGACGGUUUUGCUGUCACUAUAAAUGGAUCCGCGCCGCAUUAGCUAGUUGGUAAGGUAACGGCUUACCAAGGCAACGAUGCGUAGCCGACCUGAGAGGGUGAUCGGCCACACUGGAACUGAGACACGGUCCAGACUCCUACGGGAGGCAGCAGUAGGGAAUCUUCCGCAAUGGGCGAAAGCCUGACGGAGCAACGCCGCGUGAGUGAUGAAGGUCUUCGGAUCGUAAAACUCUGUUAUUAGGGAAGAACAAAUGUGUAAGUAACUAUGCACGUCUUGACGGUACCUAAUCAGAAAGCCACGGCUAACUACGUG